Molecule: long non-coding RNA, 125 nt
Organism: Cucurbita maxima (winter squash)
Lineage: Eukaryota; Viridiplantae; Streptophyta; Magnoliopsida; Cucurbitales; Cucurbitaceae
Exons: 3
Source: RefSeq, a predicted model, not a curated record
AAAUUUACUUGCCUAGUGCACAAUUUAUGUUUGAAGUUGCUGUGGUGUAGUGGUUAUCACGUUAGUCUUACACACUAAAGGUCCCCAGUUCGAUCCUGGGCAGCAACAGAUUUGGUAUUUUAUUU